Molecule: non-coding RNA, 179 nt
Organism: Rhodococcus erythropolis PR4
Lineage: Bacteria; Bacillati; Actinomycetota; Actinomycetes; Mycobacteriales; Nocardiaceae
Source: Rfam
CGUCAGGAACCGCCUAAUCGGGAUCUCCGCGAGGAACCCGAACCGGGAACCCAAGUUUCCACUGGGGUGAAUCCCGCCUGGGGUGCAGCACGCAUGAUCGCUGCGGACCACGCGGGUAGGGCUGAUCUUCCCAGCCCGAACCCGUCAGCUAACUCGGUCGGCGGAUGAAUGGAAGAAAU